RNAcentral lists this ribosomal RNA (254 nucleotides) under uncultured bacterium. RNAcentral's name for it is "partial 16S ribosomal RNA". It matches the Rfam family "Bacterial small subunit ribosomal RNA", at positions 524 to 776 of the family's 1533-position model. The record is from RNAcentral.
GACGUAGGAGGCGAGCGUUGUCCGGAUUUAUUGGGCGUAAAGAGCUCGUAGGCGGUUCGGUAAGUCAGGGGUGAAAUCUCCACGCUCAACGUGGAGGCGCCACCUGAAACUGCCGUGACUCGAGUCCGGUAGGGGAGUGUGGAAUUCCUGGUGUAGCGGUGAAAUGCGCAGAUAUCAGGAGGAACACCGGUGGCGAAGGCGGGUCUCUGGGCAGUAACUGACGCUGAGGAGCGAAAGCGUGGGGAGCGAACAGG